GAUCAUGGCUCAGAAUGAACGCUGGCGGCAUGCCUAACACAUGCAAGUCGAACGAAGCCUUCGGGCUUAGUGGCGCACGGGUGCGUAACGCGUGGGAAUCUGCCCUUGGGUUCGGAAUAACAGUUAGAAAUGACUGCUAAUACCGAAUGAUGUCGUAAGACCAAAGAUUUAUCGCCCAGGGAUGAGCCCGCGUAGGAUUAGCUAGUUGGUGUGGUAAAGGCGCACCAAGGCGACGAUCCUUAGCUGGUCUGAGAGGAUGAUCAGCCACACUGGGACUGAGACACGGCCCAGACUCCUACGGGAGGCAGCAGUGGGGAAUAUUGGACAAUGGGCGAAAGCCUGAUCCAGCAAUGCCGCGUGAGUGAUGAAGGCCUUAGGGUUGUAAAGCUCUUUUACCCGGGAUGAUAAUGACAGUACCGGGAGAAUAAGCUCCGGCUAACUCCGUG
This 446-nucleotide ribosomal RNA is filed under the name uncultured bacterium. RNAcentral describes it as "bacterial SSU rRNA". It matches the Rfam family "Bacterial small subunit ribosomal RNA", at positions 15 to 507 of the family's 1533-position model. The record is from RNAcentral.